Molecule: ribosomal RNA, 443 nt
Filed under: uncultured Alkaliflexus sp.
Lineage: Bacteria; Pseudomonadati; Bacteroidota; Bacteroidia; Marinilabiliales; Marinilabiliaceae
Description: bacterial SSU rRNA
Rfam family: Bacterial small subunit ribosomal RNA
Source: RNAcentral
AACAUGUGGUUUAAUUCGAUGAUACGCGAGGAACCUUACCUGGGUUUAAAUGGGAGUGACAGCUGUCGAAAGAUGGUUUUCUUCGGACACUCUUCAAGGUGCUGCAUGGUUGUCGUCAGCUCGUGCCGUGAGGUGUCGGGUUAAGUCCCAUAACGAGCGCAACCCACGUCGUUAGUUGCCAACAGGUCAAGCUGGGAACUCUAACGAGACUGCCGGUGUAAACCGCGAGGAGGGUGUGGAUGACGUCAAAUCAGCACGGCCCUUACAUCCAGGGCUACACACGUGUUACAAUGGUCGGUACAGAGGGCAGCUACCAGGCAACUGGAUGCGAAUCUCAAAAACCGGUCUCAGUUCGGAUUGGAGUCUGCAACCCGACUCCAUGAAGCUGGAUUCGCUAGUAAUCGCGCAUCAGCCAUGGCGCGGUGAAUACGUUCCCGGGCCUU